Molecule: long non-coding RNA, 426 nt
Organism: Peromyscus maniculatus bairdii (prairie deer mouse)
Lineage: Eukaryota; Metazoa; Chordata; Mammalia; Rodentia; Cricetidae
Source: RefSeq, a predicted model, not a curated record
CACACCGUAGGGUGUCAAGAGAGGUGCAUUUCCCAAGACAUGCCUCUCAGGUGGACUGGCUGCCCUCAGCUUUUGGGAUUCUUGGAAGCUGGGCAAAGCCCUUGGCCUCAUCUUGGGGAGACCCCGCAGCAGUCUGCUUCAAAACGUGCUUCCAUCCUCCCAGCACCCCAUUAGCCUCCAACUCCACAAACUCUGAGCCCCAGGUGGAGAGACAGUUCUAACCCAAAGCAUCAGUGGAAGGGGGAGUCUGCGCACUAGAGAUGGCAAGGUCCCACAGAGACACCCUCCUUACAAGGUUGACCACUGGAGUUCUCAGCUGUUUCUCUAUUGCUAACCAACUAUCCAUCAAUCCAUCCAUCCAUCCAUCCAUCCAUCCAUCCAGCUAGCCAGCCAGCCAUCCCUCUGGCAAACAUGUGGAGGCCACCU